Molecule: non-coding RNA, 125 nt
Organism: Triticum aestivum (bread wheat)
Lineage: Eukaryota; Viridiplantae; Streptophyta; Magnoliopsida; Poales; Poaceae
Source: Rfam
AAUGUACUCCCUCCGUUCGGAAUUACUCGUCCAAGAAAAGAAUGUAUCUAAAUGUAUUGUAGUCGUAGAUGCAUCAAUUUUUAUCCAUUUUUGUGACAAGUAAUUCCGAACGGAGCGAGUAGCAA